UUUGAUGUGCUCCGCCAGCUCAGUGCUGCUGCCACUGUCAGGUUAGGAGGUCCUGCUGCGGCUGGAGAUCUCAAGGUGGUCACAUCAGUAGGAAUCAGGGUAACCAGGCUCUCUGUUCUCUGGUUUGGCCCUGGUUGGUCUUCAGCUGGAGGGCUGAUGUGCCCCGCCAGCUCAGUGCUGCUCCGCCGCCAGGUUAGGAAGUCCCGCUGUAGCUGGAGACUGGGUUGCCAGGCCAGAUGCUUUCUGGGAAGUCCUGGGGGCUCUCCACUGUGCUCUCCAAGCUUGGGAGGCCCAGCGCCUGGUGUACCUAGCUUGUAUGGUGUUUCUGCCUGGUUUUGUGUGGCUUGUCUACCUGGUUGAGAAGAUGUCAUGUUUCUCUUCAAGAGUGGAGUUCCCGGAGGUCCACAUGGAGCACUUUCCAUGAAAUGGUGGAUGAAGCAGAGUAGUAUCUUAAAAAUCACUGUUUUGUCUAAUUCAAGAACCUGAGUCUUGACAUGAAUUUGAGAGCUCUGUCCAAAAUGUGGGACCAAAUUAUUAUAUUUGUCUACCCUUAGGUUUGACAAACUUUAAAAGUAUCAAAAAUAAAAAAUUAAUAUGAUGAA
Molecule: long non-coding RNA, 602 nt
Organism: Meriones unguiculatus (Mongolian gerbil)
Lineage: Eukaryota; Metazoa; Chordata; Mammalia; Rodentia; Muridae
Exons: 2
Source: RefSeq, a predicted model, not a curated record